GAUGAACGCUGGCGGCGUGCUUAACACAUGCAAGUCGAACGAAGCACUUUAUUUGAUUUCCUUCGGGACUGAUUAUUUUGUGACUGAGUGGCGGACGGGUGAGUAACGCGUGGGUAACCUGCCUUGUACAGGGGGAUAACAGUUGGAAACGGCUGCUAAUACCGCAUAAGCGCACAGCAUCGCAUGAUGCAGUGUGAAAAACUCCGGUGGUAUAAGAUGGACCCGCGUUGGAUUAGCUAGUUGGUGAGGUAACGGCCCACCAAGGCGACGAUCCAUAGCCGCCCGGAGGGGGACACCGCCCACAGUGGGACGGGACCCGGCCCCAACCUCCUGGGGGAGAAGGGGGGGGGAAAUAUCGAACAAGGGGGAAAGGCUUAAGGCGGCGCCCCGGGGGGAGAGAAAAGUUUUUCGGGUAUAAAAAGCUCUAGAAGAAGGGAAAAUAAUGGGGCUCCAUAAAAAAGAAACCCCGAAAAAAUAG
Molecule: ribosomal RNA, 478 nt
Filed under: uncultured bacterium
Lineage: Bacteria
Description: partial 16S ribosomal RNA
Rfam family: Bacterial small subunit ribosomal RNA
Source: RNAcentral